AUGGGUUGCGUUUUGAGGCCUGGAUGGCCCGCGGUGGUUCCUUCUCUCUCUGCGGCCCAACUAUCUUAUCUCAAGGCCGACAAACAGGGCAGCUUGGUGCUCUGCUCAACUCUAAAACAGGGCCCGUUUCGAAGGCCGAAAAUGAGGGUGGAUUACAGGCCGAAUAAGAGGAAGGAGACAUUGGUGAGACCGACCACUUAUCGCCAAUUUUCACUUCACCACCUCCAGUUGAAAUUUAGUGACAAUGGUUUACUGAAAGAUGAUGCUUCCUCUGUUCUGGCUUAUUCCUGCACAUAUUUUUAG
RNAcentral lists this ribosomal RNA (303 nucleotides) under Triticum aestivum (bread wheat). Its description in RNAcentral is "partial small subunit ribosomal RNA". Lineage: Eukaryota; Viridiplantae; Streptophyta; Magnoliopsida; Poales; Poaceae. The record is from RNAcentral.